Molecule: ribosomal RNA, 253 nt
Filed under: uncultured bacterium
Lineage: Bacteria
Description: partial 16S ribosomal RNA
Rfam family: Bacterial small subunit ribosomal RNA
Source: RNAcentral
UACGGAGGGUGUAAGCGUUGUUCGGAAUUAUUGGGCGUAAAGCGCACGUAGGCGGGUUUAUAAGUCGAUUGUGAAAUCCCCGGGCUUAACCUGGGACUUGCAGUCGAUACUGUAAAUCUUGAAUGUUUGAGAGGAUGGCGGAAUUCCUGGUGUAGAAGUGAAAUUCGUAGAUAUCAGGAGGAACACCCGAGGCGAAGGCGGCUGUCUGGCAAUACAUUGACGCUGAGGUGCGAAAGCGUGGGGAGCAAACAGG